UUCUAAGGGAUAAGCAGUUAAUGAUUUCUCUGUAACAGAUAACAUCUAAGAAAGGAACAGAUAAAGCCCUGGUAUGCACCUUCUAGAACACCAGCACUGGACAUCUCAAUGCCAAGACCUGGCUGCAGGGAAUAACACCUAUGCCCUCGCCUUUGUUCUCACCAGUUCCUGGACGCCCGAGAGGACACAUACAGCAAACCUGCAAUCCUUGCUGAUAAGGAGAGCCAACCAAUGACUGCAUUCACAGGGGAAGACAGAUGAUACCAGUUUUCUCGGUUACCAACAGGAUGCCUUAACAACCCAGCAAUAGCCCACAAUAGCCCACAACUAUCUAAGGUGGACCAGUUUCUAUGACACCAUCUAGAGAAUGCUGGCACACGGGGGCCUUGAGAACUAUGACGGUCUUAACUUGCAGAAUCUGGUUCUGGAGAACAAAAGAUGAUGAA
Long non-coding RNA from Neogale vison (American mink), 446 nucleotides. RefSeq lists it as uncharacterized. The record is from RefSeq and is a predicted model, not a curated record. NCBI's taxonomy places the organism in Eukaryota, Metazoa, Chordata, Mammalia, Carnivora, Mustelidae. The transcript is spliced from 3 exons.